Odocoileus virginianus texanus is the source of this 542-nucleotide non-coding RNA. The record is from RefSeq and is a predicted model, not a curated record. NCBI's taxonomy places the organism in Eukaryota, Metazoa, Chordata, Mammalia, Artiodactyla, Cervidae.
CAGGGGUGCAGCAAGGAGAGAAAUGAGGCUGAGCUGGGUCUUGACAGUACUGUCCAUCUGCCUGAGCGCCCUGGUCAUGGCCACAGGGGCCGAGGGCAAACGGAAGCUCCAGAUCGGAGUCAAGAAACCGGUAGACCGCUGUCCCAUCAAAUCGCACAAAGGGGACGUCCUGCACGUGCUCUACACGGGGAAGCUGGAAGAUGGAACAGAGUUUGAUAGCGGUCUGCCCCAGAACCAGUCCUUUGUCUUCUCCUUGGGCACAGGCCAGGUCAUCAAGGGCUGGGACCAGGGGCUGCUAGGGAUGUGUGAGGGGAAAAAGCGGAAGCUGGUAAUCCCAUCAGAGCUGGGGUAUGGAGAUCGGGGAGCUCCCCCAAAGAUUCCAGGUGGUGCAACCUUGGUGUUCGAGGUGGAGCUGCUCAAAAUCAAGCGAUGUUCAGAACUGUAGCCAAACUGGAGAAAGGUGGUGGAGAGGCCCCCAUCAGGGACCAGACUGUUUAAAGAAAGAAAAAAAACCUUAAAACCCAAAAUAAACCAACAAAAAA